This 449-nucleotide ribosomal RNA is filed under the name uncultured bacterium. RNAcentral describes it as "partial 16S ribosomal RNA". It matches the Rfam family "Bacterial small subunit ribosomal RNA", at positions 29 to 523 of the family's 1533-position model. The record is from RNAcentral.
AGCGAACGCUGGCGGCAGGCCUAACACAUGCAAGUCGAACGAACUCUUCGGAGUUAGUGGCGGACGGGUGAGUAACACGUGGGAACGUGCCUUUAGGUUCGGAAUAACUCAGGGAAACUUGUGCUAAUACCGAAUGUGCCCUUCGGGGGAAAGAGUUAUCGCCUUUAGAGCGGCCCGCGUCUGAUUAGCUAGUUGGUGAGGUAAAGGCUCACCAAGGCGACGAUCAGUAGCUGGUCUGAGAGGAUGAUCAGCCACAUUGGGACGCAGAAACGGCCCAAACUCCGACGGGAGGCAGCAGUGGGGAAUCUUGCGCAAUGAGCGAAAGCCUGACGCAGCCAUGCCGCGUGAAUGAUGAAGGUCUUAGGAUUGUAAAAUUCUUUCACCGGGGACGAUAAUGACGGUACCCGGAGAAGAAGCCCCGGCUAACUUCGUGCCAGCCGCCGCGGUAA